ACUCUGAAAAGAUAGGAGGCUUACACUCUCGUCAGUCUUCUUUAUCGCUCGGAUGUCGGACGAAGUGACUUCUGAUUCCGCGUGAAGACGUAUGUACGUAGUUUGAAUUUUCUCGUGACAGAUUCGAACGCGAGAAUUGAGGUUUUCUGGUUAAUGUCAAGGUGUGAAAGGUGCGCACGAUCGUUUUAAUCCGUCGUUAUACGGCUCCGACUGCAGAGUUUGCGAUAGAGUCUUGAUCGUUUCGAGAGCGUAUAACAAUAGCACGGGAAACGUUGAGUCGAAGCCAUGAGGAACCGCCUGUCAAAGCUGCCAAUUCUAACUAAGGAAAAUCGUGACUAUUUCCUCAGCACUCAUUUCUGGGGCCCGGUAUUCAAUUGGGCGAUACCGAUUUCCGCUAUAAUCGAUAGAAAAAAAGAUCCGAAAAUAAUCAGCGGUAAAAUGACGUUAGCUUUGUUCCUCUACUCGAUGGUGUUCAUGAGGUUCGCCGUAAAAGUGAAACCCCGUAACACGUUGUUGUUCGCUUGUCAUUUCGUAAAUGCCGGUGCUCAGCUGACGCAGGGUUACCGUUUUAUACAGUACCACUACGAACUUGGAAGCUUUGCGACACCCGAAAACGCGGAGAACCCGGAGGUCGCCGCCACGGCGGAGGCUGUAAAGAGUUGAAAAAAAAUCAGAGGAAGAAAGAAAAUUGACGAACUUAUUCGUUGACGACAUUAUCGUAACUCCUCGUCGUCGCUCAAGUCAUCGUUGGAUGAAUCUUUAACAGGAGAAAAUUUUUUCCAUCGCAUCGUUCGAUACGGGAAAGGGAUCCCCUUCGCCGUAAUGGACGUCGCACUGAUGAAUGCAAAUUUAUGAAAAGUCUCCUCUCCGCUGCAGGGCGAAACGUAUGAAAUAAAAAGAAAAAAAAUAUAUAUAUACAUAUAUCCAGAGAAUUGGGAAAA
Athalia rosae (coleseed sawfly) is the source of this 941-nucleotide RNA transcript. It is a transcript of the gene named mitochondrial pyruvate carrier 1-like, with no coding region annotated. The transcript is spliced from 4 exons. The record is from RefSeq and is a predicted model, not a curated record. NCBI's taxonomy places the organism in Eukaryota, Metazoa, Arthropoda, Insecta, Hymenoptera, Athaliidae.